AGUGAACGCUGGCGGUAGGCCUAACACAUGCAAGUCGAACGGCAGCACAGUAAGAGCUUGCUCUUACGGGUGGCGAGUGGCGGACGGGUGAGGAAUACAUCGGAAUCUACUUUUUCGUGGGGGAUAACGUAGGGAAACUUACGCUAAUACCGCAUACGACCUACGGGUGAAAGCAGGGGAUCUUCGGACCUUGCGCGAUUGAAUGAGCCGAUGUCGGAUUAGCUAGUUGGCGGGGUAAAGGCCCACCAAGGCGACGAUCCGUAGCUGGUCUGAGAGGAUGAUCAGCCACACUAGAACUGAGAAACGGUCCAGACUCCUACGGGAGGCAGCAGUGGGGAAUAUUGGACAAUGGGCGCAAGCCUGAUCCAGCCAUACCGCGUGGGUGAAGAAGGCCUUCGGGUUGUAAAGCCCUCUUGUUGGGAGAGAAAAGCAGCAGGUUAAUACCCCGCUGUUCUGACGGUACCCAAAGAAUAAGCACCGGCUAACUUCGUG
Molecule: ribosomal RNA, 492 nt
Filed under: uncultured bacterium
Lineage: Bacteria
Description: partial 16S ribosomal RNA
Rfam family: Bacterial small subunit ribosomal RNA
Source: RNAcentral